AGUGGGAAGGGAGGGAGGUGAAGAUGUAUUUGUGUUACAGACAAAAGACAAGUUCUGUUCCUCAGCAGGGACAAAUGAAGAACCAGAUGAGGGGAUAAACUGAGGUUCUUAUAGUACCAUGUUGGCGAUGUCCUAUGCGUGGCCCCACAGUUCUUCCUUUGGAAAAGGUGGUGGAAGGGAAUAUAGACAGAAUCAAAUAGGCCUUCCAGAAGAGACUGAAUGGACACCAACCCACCAUCAUUUAGCCAC
Long non-coding RNA from Panthera uncia (snow leopard), 249 nucleotides. RefSeq lists it as uncharacterized. The transcript has 3 exons. The record is from RefSeq and is a predicted model, not a curated record. NCBI's taxonomy places the organism in Eukaryota, Metazoa, Chordata, Mammalia, Carnivora, Felidae.